GACGAACGCUGGCGGCGUGCUUAACACAUGCAAGUCGAGCGGUAAGGCCCUUUCGGGGGUACACGAGCGGCGAACGGGUGAGUAACACGUGGGUGACCUGCCUUCAGCUCUGGGAUAAGCCUGGGGAAACUGGGUCUAAUACUGGAUAUGACUCCACGGUGCAUGUCGUGGGGUGGAAAGCCUUGUGCGGCUGAGGAUGGG
Molecule: ribosomal RNA, 201 nt
Filed under: uncultured bacterium
Lineage: Bacteria
Description: partial 16S ribosomal RNA
Rfam family: Bacterial small subunit ribosomal RNA
Source: RNAcentral